RNAcentral lists this transfer-messenger RNA (364 nucleotides) under Gammaproteobacteria bacterium. It matches the Rfam family "transfer-messenger RNA". From Rfam's summary of the family: Bacterial tmRNA, also known as 10Sa RNA or SsrA, is named for its dual tRNA and mRNA-like properties. Its role is to liberate the mRNA from a stalled ribosome. The record is from RNAcentral. Lineage: Bacteria; Pseudomonadati; Pseudomonadota; Gammaproteobacteria. RNAcentral also lists the same sequence under 1 other name.
GGGGGCGACCUGGCUUCGACGUGGGUAGCAAAACCUGAGGUGCAUGCCGAGCAUGCAGAUACGCUCGUAAAUCUGUUCUGUAAAAUCAUAGUUGCCAACGACGACAACUACGCUUUAGCUGCUUAAUAACCAGCGUAAAGCCCUCUGCCUGAGCCGUGCUUGUACGCUCAGAUUCCAGGGGUCGACUCUUACAAGCUCGCGAUGAAGCUCGUUCGGGGUGGAUUCGUUAAAAUCUUACCGAACUCGCUGAUUGUUUUCCCUGCCGGUCGGGUAGCAGUCAGCUAAAUCAAUAGACUCGGAUAAGCAUGUAGAGCCGAUGGCGGAGUGCUCGCGGACGCGGGUUCGAUUCCCGCCGCCUCCACCA